Callithrix jacchus (white-tufted-ear marmoset) is the source of this 17967-nucleotide non-coding RNA. The record is from RefSeq and is a predicted model, not a curated record. NCBI's taxonomy places the organism in Eukaryota, Metazoa, Chordata, Mammalia, Primates, Cebidae.
AGGCACCGGAGCAUGGGUCUGACGGUUAUAUUCUGGCAUGCAGAACCUAAGACCCCACCCGAGCCAAGCGGGGAGAGAGAGGAGGGUAAAGGGAUGGAGGAGAGGGCGGCUUGCGCCCGGCUGGGGAAAGCUCCACGCAGCAGCACCCGGAGGUCCGGUGUCCGGCGCGCCCUGGUACCACUCUCUCCACUGCGGUAGCAUCCCGACAUGACAUUGCAGCUGCAACAAAGCGCCGGCCUACGCCGUCCCUCGAAGCCCCACACCGCAGCCCCGGCCCCACACCACGCAGAGGGGCAGUGGCCGUGGGCGGGGGGCUGUGGCUGCGGGUGUGGGGAGCGCGAGGUAGGCCGAGGAGGGGAAAAAGCCCUCAAAUGCGCAGAAGCCGGGCGGCCACCUAGCGCCUCCUCCAGCAAAGCCAGACUGCAGGGAAAACAAUUCGUCUUCGUUCCCGAGCCCCGGCGGAGCCCUGCAAUUCGUCCAGAUAACCUAGACAGGGCCCUGCGACGCCUUUCGAUGGUUUCGGACACGAUGGUUAAAUCAGAGAGCGAAGGUGGAUAGACCACAGAGUACUUAGAUCAACUGCCUGACAAGAAAAAGAGGCCUGUGCAUUGCUUCUCAAACUUUGCUGCGCUGUGGAAUCUCCUGGAGAGUUGAAAACAUGUAUAUUGAUUCCUGGGCCUCAACUAUGGAGACUCUGAUUUCAUUGGAACAGGACAUAACCUGGCCUGGGGAUUGAGGUACUGACAGCACAUGGCACACUGUAUUGACAUUACUGCUUCAGCCAUCUGGUCCACACCCCUCAACUGGGAGCCCUAUGGUGCUGAGCUUAUCCUAGCCUUCCUUGGUCCCUUCUGCUUCAAAAGAAGUUCACUAUUUAAACUAUCAGCUUCAAGAUCCAACACCCAGUGCUUCUGAAGGUAACUUGCUAAGUCGCGUCUAGGAAGGGUGGGAGCCCUCCAGUCAGGAUGUCUACAAGCACUUGUUAAGCACCAGUUUUCUAGGCACUGGAGGAAAGAAAUGAGAGAAAAGGCAGAGAAUGAGGACAGAAGAAGGAAAAGAAAGUUCCUGUCAAGCUGUUUUUGGAGAGAUAAGACUUACAUUAUGAAAUGAAACCACAAUCAAGACGAAGGCCAGCAAGAAGAGCUCUAAGGACCUGCUCUCCAGGAAACAGCUAUAAUUAAUGAAAAUUGUAUUAAAACAGCCAAUUGACAUCUCUGAAAAUUGAUCUAAGGAUAUAUGCAAAUGAAGAAAGAUUUAUUCAAAAAAAUAUGCUAAACCUCGGUAAGAACACCAAGAGUCUGGCACUUGAGUCACCACCGCUCCUGUCCUCACUCAUCCAUAUUUCAGUGCAAUGCCUGAAGCUCCAGUCUGGGUGGAUGGCCAAGAAAACAAGGUCCCUCAACUCUUAGCCUCCAGUUAAAUAAUACGUUAACUUACCAAGAAGGGCAGACCACCAGCAUUUCUCAUCCCCUCCAGCUCCAAGUUCAUAGGCUACAUUCUAGGCAAGUAUGUCCCAAAUAUAGUGGCUCCUUUCCUCCACUCAUCUCAUACUUUUAGAGGCACAGGCUUGACCCCAGAUGUGGCAGGCUGAAAAUAAUGAGAUUGUGACUACUCUUGCCUCAGCUUAUUCAUGGAACAAAGAUUCCAUGCUGGAAAAGGCAAGCCAGCAGAGCAGAGGCUAUCACCCCCAUCCAAUGCCCUGCUUGUUAAGCAGGAAUAUCACUCCAAGAUAAAUUUGCCACUGCUGCUCCAGAACAGGGACUGUUUUCUUCUGCUGCUCCAGAACAGGGACUCCAAGAUUUUGUUCAGAGGGAGAGGUGCUUCCUUUCUAUUUUUUGUUUUUUCAGAAGAAUAGAAAGUUCCAAACUUCUUCCUAAAGAAAUGGGCUUUAUUUGAAGCACAGUAUGGGGAAGUUCAAGCCUAAGGUCACUCUUGAAAACAAUGAAGAUUUUGGUGGUAAGCAGUUAAAAGGAGGCUGGUAGCUCCAUUUGAGUAACAAGGUAAAUUGUAGUUGGCUAGAGACUGCUAAGGGGAACCAUCCAGGGGUCAGAACAAAUCUCAAAGACUUGCCUCAGAAGCUAUCUCUGCAAAGGGCCUAAAUUUAAUUGUAUCAGACAAUGAAGUAGUUAACAUCCUGGGCGUUAUUCAAAACAGCCGAGCAAUCAGCCAGUAAUUAAUGGAGCAUAAAAGCUGAGUGUGAUACUAGAAGAAGCAGGCAGGUGGCCAGAGAAAUUGGGAAAAUAUACAAUCAAAGCAAGUCCUAAUAAAGUCACUGUAAUUCCACUAUGACAAUUUGUAAUAGCAUAAAAAAUAAAAUAAUUAGGAAAAGAUUUAACCAAGUUUCAUGUACACUGAAAACUAUGAAACACUACACAAAGAAAUUAAAGAACAUCUAAAUAAAUGUUCAUGGGUUGGAAGAUUUAAUAUUGUUAUGAUGUUAAUAUUCGCCACACUGAACUAUAGAUUCAAUGCAAUGUCUAUCAAAAUUCCAACCACCUUCUUUACAGAAAAGGAUUAGUUAAUUCUAAAAUUUAUAUGGAAAUUUAAGAGACCUAGUAUAGGCAAACUAUCUCAAAAAACAUGCUAUUAGGAAAGUUAAAAGACAACCCACAGAUUGGGGGAAAUUUAUUCAAAUCAUUUAUCUUUUAAGGGUCUAGUAUUUAGAAUAAUAAAGAACACUUACUGCUUAACAACAGAAAGAAAAACAACCCAAUUUUAAAAUGGGCAAAGGAUUUCAAUAGACAUUUCUCCAAAGAAGCUGUACAAAUGUCCAAUGGAAAUAAAAUGUGCAAGAAACAUAUGUAAUUUUUUUUUUUUUUUUGAUGGAGUCUUGUUCUGUCAACCUGGCUGGAGUGCAGUGGUGCAAUCUCUGCUGACUGCAAUCUCCACCUCCUGGGUUCAAGCAAUUCCCCUGCCUCAGCCUUCAGAGUAGCUAAGAUUACAGGUCUUUGCCACCAUGCCCAGAUAAUUUUUAUAUUUUUAGUAGAGAUGGUGUUUCACCAUGUUUUCCAGGCUGCUGUCAAACUCCUGACCUCAAGUGAUCUGCCAUCUCAGCCUCCCAAAGUGCUGGGAUUACAGGCAAAAAAUAUGUAAUUUUAAAGUUUCUAGUAGCUGCCUUUAAAAAGUAAAAAAGAAACCAAUGAAAUCGAUUUUAAUAAUGUUUUAUUUAACCCAACACAUCCAAAAUGUUAAUAUUUCAACAAAUAAUAUAAUAAAAUUAUUGAUAAGAUAGUCUACUUUUUUAAUGGUAAAUCUUCAAAAUCUGGUGUGUUUUACAUUUAAGAGCACAUGUCAGUUUGGUCUACCCACAUUUCAAGUACUUAGCAGCCAUAUGUGGCUAGUGGUUACCCCCUUAGAUAGCAUAGUUCUAGAGCAACCUGCGCUCACCUCUGUCAUUACACUUUUCUCUCAGGAUGGUUACUCUUGUUUGCUAACCUGUUUUCCUUUACUAAGCCCUCUAAAGGCAGAGACUCUAUCUUCACUACUGUUAUAGCCUGGCAUCAGCAUAGGAUCUAGGGCAUAUAUACUCGUUGAAUGUAUUUGAUUAGAAGGUAAGCAUGCCAACCUUAUUAUACUUGAGAUGCUCAUUUUUAUGAUCUUCUUCCUCCCCAGAGUAUUCAGAAAAACUGGGACUUGAGAGUUCUUUUCAGGAAGAAAUACCAUUGGCACUCUCUCUAGCUAACAAUAUUAAUCAUCACUACCUACUCUCAAGUCACUCUGCAUUUUUUAUUAUGUUAACACAAAAUUCUUGUGAGUUUGAUAGAAUUGUAUUCUCCCUCACUGAGAGAUGACAAGACCAAGGGUCAAAGAUGUUAAAUUACCUGCUCGAUAACUAGUGGUAUGCUAAUUAAGAUUUUAAAAUGAGCUUUUUCUUGGUGGACGGUGUUAAGGAAGCCCUUCCACUUUAAAGGUACAUUUCAGGGGAUUGUUUUUGUUUUUGUUUAAUCCCUGCACUUUGAGAGGUCAAGAUGAGAGGAUCGCUAGAGCCUGGCUAGGCCUUGUAAGUUAGAUUGACAGAAGACAGAUUAAUAAGAGAAAAACAACUUAUUAGCAAGUGCAUUGUGCUUACCUACCUGAGUACCCAAAGAUGACUAACUUAAAGGAUUGCUUCUAAUUUGAGAUUAUCUAGCAUCUCAGUAGAGGAACAAUACAUAAAGCAAUUGGCCAAUAUCCAUGGUAUAAAUACUCCCAUCAUAGCUAAUUUCAAACAAUCCACAUGGUAUCCCUGAACAUGAAGUAGGGAAGAGGCAAUAACACGUAGCUCCAGUGUGCCCCAGCUCCAACACUUUGCCAUAUGAGAAAGAGGAUUUGUGGAAAGGAAGUAGCAACUGAUAUUUUGAGUACUUGUCAAGUAUUGAGUAAUCUGUAAGGUGCUUCACCAAUGUUAUCUUAUUUGAUCAUGAUAAUCAACUUUUGAGGUAGGUAUUUAUUAUCUCCACUUUACAGCAAUGGAAAAUAAGACUUGGGUUAGGUAACAUGCCAAAGAUUACCUGCUAAUACAUAGGAUGAUCCGUGGCUAAAUUAAUGGCUAACCCUUCUGCCUUCUCCUUUACUUUUCAACUCUUUCUUUACGUAUUCGGGUUCUCCAUUCUUGGCCUCGGUAAAAGUCUUAUUUUUACCAGGACUGUGAUUCCAUGCUAGCUCCCUCAGGCUCUGCCCCAGGGUAAGGGUCAUACCAGGUUGACUCACCAAAGAUUCUUAUGGCUUCACUUCCUAUAGAACUUUACGUGAUCUUGUGUUUCCACAGAACAGAAGCCUAAUGGAGGCUGGAGUGAGAAGCUUUCUUCAAGUGGGCAAAAAAUGUUCGUGUGGUGGCUUUGGCUCUAGGGCAUUCCUCUGCAAGCUGGUUCCAUAGUCAGUGUCGAUGUGAGCAUGAGACAUGAAAUAAAACAUCAUCAGAUGCUGUCUUUCUCCGUAGAGUAUCAGGAAUAGUAACUCCUACCAGUUAGUGAGUAGUACAAUGCAGCAUAUGGUUCACAUCAUUUUUUAAAAACCCUGAAAGGUUUAUAUUAUUAUUCCUGUUUUAAUCUUGGAAAUAGGGCUCAGACAUUUAAAUAACUUGCAAAAAGACCCUCAACUGAUAAGUGGCAAAGUUAGGUUAUGAAUCUGGGUCCGCCUAACUUCUAGGUACAUCAUGUCUCUACCAAACUUUCACAAAGUUCGACAGUGAACUCUGCACUCCCAGCAGCCUCUCUUGGGUUCCUUUUAUGCCUUUUGUUCCUGUUAUUUCAUGUUUCCUUGCUUGGCUUGGUCUAUUUGAUGUCUGAAUGUUGGCCAGGUGACACCUGGCAUGUGGGCAGACCGAUAAUUAAAAGACAGAUUCCACCUUUCCCGUGUUCUCUUUGGUUAAACAAACAGCAACUAAUGAAGCUUGCUGACGUCAAAGUUGCAGUCCUGUGGGAGGGUGUGGUGCUCACACACCCAUUUCAUACAUCAGCUAGGCAAACAUAAGACUAAAGACAGAACCAGACCUACUCAAAACAAAUAGGUGGGAAGAAAAGCCUAACACUUCAUCCCAUUGCCUCACAUUAGUAUCUGUUCAUAUACAUUGCCUUUGAGAAAAUGGUAAUAGUCCAUGCCUUUAUAUCUAAAGGUACAUUUCAGGGGGUUGUUUUUAUUUUUGUUUAAUCCCUGCACUUUGAGAGGUCAAGAUGAGGGGAUCACUAGAGCCUGGCUAGGGCCUUGUAAGUUAGAUUGACAAAAGACAGAUUAAGAGAAAAACAACUUAUUAGCAAGUGCAUUGUGCUUACCUACCUGAGUACCCAUAGAUGACUAACUUAAAGGAUUGCUUCUAAUUUGAUAUUAUCUAGCACCUUUGCAGAGGAACAAUACAUUUUUAAAUAACUGACAAGACAAAGGAAGAGGACUUUCCAUUUCUAGGGGCAACACAUUGUGGGAAGGCAAAUAUAUGGAGAAACUAGUGGAAGGUUAAGGGCAAAUUAGUAAAGUUUGUUAGAUAGGUUCCUCUGGUGCCAUCUUUGGGCUCAUAAAGGUCUAAGGUUGUCUACGUUGAUUAACUUCUGUUCUUCAUAGUAGAGAGAGGAGCAGGGGCAUCUAUGCAAAUUUAUGCACUUUUUUAGGCAAAUAAGGGUAGAGGGGUUUUCUUGUAUCUGCAUCUUCUCAAUUGUCUUCAGCUUAAAAUAAUCCUUACGUCAAAAUGGCAUAUUUUGGGGUGGUAUAUUCUGCUACCCUCCUACAAUGGUAACCAGUAACUUCUAUUUUUCCCCAAUCAUCAUAAGCCCCCCAAAUUCCCAAAACUCUCCCCAGGUGGCAUUACAUUUUGCAUAAAAGUUCUUUCCUUUUGAACAUUAGCAUAUCUAAUCUACAGAAGAAAGUUGGGCCACUUGCCUUUAACUAUGUGUUGUGGGUGGAAUGACUGUCCUCAAAAGGCUGUCUACAUCUCAACUCCUAGAACUUAUGAAUGUGAGCUUAUUUGGAAAAGGUCUUUGCAGAUGUAAUUAAGUUGAGAACAUUGAGAUAAGAUUAUCCUGGAUUAUCCACGUGGACCAUAAAUGCAGUGACGAUGUCCUUAUAAGAGACCGAAGAGACAUAAUUCUUCCCUAGAGCCUUAAUUCAAGGAAUCUGUUUUUUCACAGUCUGCUGUAAAUCUCCUUGGACUGUUCCAUUAAUCUUUCCUGUAUUUAGUGAUUUGUGUUGCAAAGUUUGCCUAAUGAAUUGACUGAACCACGUUUGGAGGCCUUUGAAACCUGGCAUACCUCUGUAGCCAAACUUCUUUGUGUUUUUUUUUUUUUUGAGACGGACUUUCACUCUUGUUGCCCAGGCUAGCGUGGAGUGCAAUGACAAUCUCAGCUCACCACAAUGAUCACUCCCAGGUUCAAGCAGUUCUCCUGCCUCAGCCUCCCAAGUAGCUGGGAUUACAGGCAUGUGCCACCACACCCAGAUAAUUUUUUGUAUUUUUUUUAUUAGAGAUAAGUUUUCUCCAUGUUGAUCAGGCCAGUCUCGAACUCCCGACCUUAGGUGAUCCGCCUGCCUCACCCUCCCAAAGUAUUGGUAUUACAAGCAUGAGCCACAGCCCUUGACCUAUAGCCAAACUUCUAACUAUUCCUUUCAGCCCUGAGUAACAAAUAGUUUGGAUAGAAAAAUAAUAAAGGUUGAUUAGGCAAGAUACUUAUUAAUUAUUAAAAGGAAAAUCAGAAAGUAAACGAAAAUGGAAGGUAAGACUCUUUCCCCAGGAAAAGCACAUCAUUUUAAAUCACAAAGAAAACAUGUAGGAGAAACACAUGAAUAAGCGUCAGUCUGGAGCUUUAGACCUGGUGAAAAAUAUACAAUUAAGAAAGAGUGAAAUUCAUUCAGUGCACAAAUAUUUACGAGGAGCCGAUUUUAUGCCAGUUCCUGCUCUAGGCACUGAGGAUAAAACAAUCAAUCAGACAAUAUCCCUGUGCUCGCAGGUCUUAUGUUCUAGUAGGAGACAGAGGCAAUAUACAAAUUAUCAAAUAACUGUAUAAUUCAGCGUCAGGUGCUACAGGAAAAAUAAAAUAGGGUAAGGAAAUAUGAUUGGUUGUGGCAAAAUAGCAUAUAUUUUAUAUAAGGAAACCAAGAAAAAAGGGGACAUUUUGAUCAGAGACCUGAAUAUAAUAGAAAGUAUGGGGAAGAAAGUUCUAAGGAGAGUCAAGGCGAUAUGAUGUGAUUCACCUUUCAAGGACCAGACAAAGACAGUGAGGACAACAGGGAAUGAGUGGGAGGAUCCCGGUAGGAAGCCAGAUUCUCUGGUCUUUUGGGUGUGGUAGGAAUUCUGUCUGAAGGCCAUCACACACCAGGAGCUACAUAUUUCAGGGCUCCCUAAAAUAUGGUUCCUUUAUAUUCCCCUUCCAAAUCCUUCAAAAGAUAUUGCUUUGGCACUCAAUCAGAGAGCACGAGAACAGAUGUUUAAAACAUGGGUCACAGCCUACCAUUAAUGGAGUUAAUUAUAGGAGCACCUCCAGAGCAUUUGGUUUUGAAGUAUGAAUUAUUAUCCUCCCCCACUUUCUUAUCUCUAAAUGCCACACAGGUAGGCAGUGGAACAGAGGAAGAAACCAACCUUGGUGAGUUUUAUUUCUGCUCAGAGGGUUUUUACUUCUGAGUAUCCAAUUUGUAUUUAGAUAUACCCUUAUAGUUUAUUUAUUUGGGAAUUUUUAGAUUUAGAUUUUAGCAAGAAUCUCUUGAUGUAUAGCAUUCCUAUUUGAGAAAUAAGAAAAUUACGUUUCAGAAAGGCUAAUUACAGUGUUAGUACUACCCAACAGGACUGGGAAAAGAGAUUUCACUACAUAGGACCCUGGUUCCCAUCUCAGGAGCUCUAGACAACUCUCCAAGACUGUUACAAGCCACAAAGAUCUAAAUAUGCAUCACUGAGGGAGAGACUGACAAUAGGGUUACUUUAGGAAAUGCUAAUAAAAUAGUCUCUCCUAGAAAAGUCACAUUAAAAAUUUGAUAAAAACACAUUGGGGGGAUACUUUUCUCUUUGAGUAUUCACUCUCUCAGACUCAACGCUCUCCUUCUAUAACAGAUACUUUGUAAUAUUCCUUUCACUACUCUGAAAUGAAAUUCACACAUAAUAUAACCUCCUGUUUGUGUUUGUUGUAAUAUGCAGAUAUGUUCUAGACCCAGAUCAUUAUAAACAGGUUUUUCACCUACGUGAAUGUCCUCAGAGACAUCUGACAAGUUGGGGACAACUUGGGAAAGUUGCAGAGGACGUCGGACAUUUUCUUCAAGCCAGCGUGUCCCACACAUUACAAGGCAAGAAACAACCCAGACCCUUGCUCAUUCUGCCGGUAGUGCUCCCCUUCCCUGUAACCCCCAAAUUCCCAAAACUCUCCCCAGCUGGCAUUACAUUUCACAUCAAAGUUCCUUCCUUUUGAACAUUGGCCUAUCUAAUCUACAGAAGAAAGUUGGACCACUUGCCUUUAACCUUGUGCUGUGGGUGGAAUGACUGUCCUCAAAAGCCUGUCUACGUCUCAAGUCCUAGGACUUAUAAAUGUGAGCUUAUUUGGAAAAGGUCUUUGCAGAUGUAAUUAAGUUGAGAACAUUGAGAUAAGAUCAUCCUGGAUUAUCCAUGUGGGCUGUAAAUGCAGUGACAAUGUCCUUUUGAGAGAUAGAAGAGAAGACACAGAAGAGGAGAACGCCAUGUGACUACAGAGGCAGAGGCUGGCAUUACACUGCCACAAGCCAAGGAAUGCUAGGAGCUACCAGAAGCUAGAAGAGGCAAAAAAGAGUUCUCCCCUAGAGCCUCAUACGGGACAUAGCCCUGCUGGCACCUUGAUUUUAGACUUUGGCCUCCAGAAUGAUGAGAUAAUUCAUUUCUGUUGUUUAAAUCACCAAGUUCGUGGUAAUUUGUUACAGCAGUGCAAGGAAACCAAGAAUACGUUUUUUGGAGCUUCAAGACAGGAGGACAUCUAGGUUGUCUGUGUUCACUGAUGUAUUUCCAGCACUUAGAUCGGAGCCUAAAAACUAGGAAGAGCUCAAAAAAUACUUGUUGGAUUGAAUGAAUGAACGACAGCUUCCCUACAACAUGUAAGAGUGGAGCCUAAUUGGAGGUGUUUCGGUCAUGGAAGCAGAUCCCAGUUGAACGCCUUGGUCCUCUGAGUGCAGUAAUGAGUUCACAGAAGCUCCGAUUGUUUAAAGGAGCUGGCACCUCCUCUUCUCUCUCUUGCUCUUGUUAUCACCACGUGACACACCUGCUCCCUCUUCACCUUCUGUCAAGAGUAAAAGUUUCCUGGGCUUCACUAGAAGCCAAGUAGUUGCUUGUGCCAUGAACCAACAGCCUGUAGAACCACAAACCAAAUAAGAUCAGUUUGCCAGCACAGUUGGGUUCUGAUGACGGCCUGCUUCCUUCAUAGACAAAAAUGUUUCACUGAAACCCCACACGGCAGAAGAGACUAUUACAGAGCUAGCUUUCUAGGGUCUCUUUGAUAAGGGCAUUAAUCCCAUUCAUGAGUGCUCCAUCCUUAUGACCUAACCACUUUGCAAAGUCCCCACCUCCUAUGCCACCACCUUGGGGGUUAGAAUUCCAACACAUGAAUAUGAAGCAGGAACAAACAUUCAGACCAUAGCAUAUAUUCUCCUGGGUUUUUUUUUCUUAGUAACAAAACCCUAAUAUUAUUUGGAGCUAACUCUCUUUUGGCUUAUUUUAUGUAAAAGAGUAAUUCAUUUUUAACUUUUUAAAACCGUAGUGAUUUGAGGUCUCCUUUGUGUACAGAUAAUCUGAUACAUACUGUAGUGCAUGCUGUCAGGAUGCACCCUCCAAUAUACCCCUUCAAGACUGAUGAACUUACUUACCCCACCAGCUGUUGGGAGCAUUGCCCACAGAGACCCCUCAUCUUCCAGCUCUUUUACAUACCUGCCUUCUGCUGAAGAGAGUUGCUUUAUGCCAGUUCAUGCCCUAUUUCUAAAAUAGUCUACACCCAGUCACACUGAUUGAUGGGGAACAGUAACAUCUGGUCCCUUGUUCUAGCUUGGUGCAACUCUGAAGGGCCAUCAGCUUCGGAGCUACUUCUAGGCUUAGUUUAGGCUUUAGUUGAAACUGCAUUACAGUCCAACUUCUUCUGCUUAAUCUUACUUCCUUUUUCCCUUCCAUACUUGUUGAUCCCCAAAAGCACUCCCUAAUAAACUUCCUGCACACUAAUAUCUUCCCAGAUCACAGGGAAAGCAACCUGUAACAAAGACAUAUAGAUUUUUUCACCCACAAAAAUUAAUAGGUGAAUCAGAAUUGAAAAGGCACCAAAUGAACCAAUUUCUUGAGCGUUUUUGUUAAAAAAGUAAGUAAUAAACUUUAGGCAGAAAUUUUCCAGCUGCAACUAACAACACAACCAUGUAUGCUGAGCAAAUAUAUAUUUACUACAUACUGGACACUCUAGUGGUCUUCAACCAAAGAUUGUACCACUCUUCUGAGGACCUUUGGAAAUUUGCAAGGGUAUUUGAGGGGUGAGAACUGGUUACCAUGACUGGCAGGUAUUACUGGUGUUUAGUGUUGAGGUCCAGAGAUGGUAAAUAUCCAGGAAUAGUCAAUAGAGUCCCAACAGUGAAGGACGUUUUCUUGCUGAAGAGGAUACAAAGAGGUAUAAGACAUAGUCUCCUCUUACUGCUCUUACUUAGCUUAUUUUCUAAUCAUGGAAAAAGAAAAAAUACUAAAUAUGAUAAAUGUAUCAAGAGCAUGUAACAGCAUCUACUGAUAGCCAGAUGGUUUGUGUAGACAGUAAAUGCAAAAAUGCUUCACAGAGGAAAAUGAUUGCAAUGAAUAGGGGUGCAGGGGAAGAGCUGCAAGACUCUAAAAAUUAACAGAAUAAUUUUUUAGGACUUUCAUUCAGAGAAUUUUGUGUCUUCUUUUAACAAAUUAUAUAUAACUAUGCUAUUAAGUGAAGGCAAGAUUUAAGAUCAGGGCCAUCUAAUGCCCAAAGUCCAUCCAUGCCUUUUCUACUCCCCUCUGUGCCUUUAUUUAUGAUAUUUUACUACCUAAAACUCACACAUUCACUUGCCAGUAAACCUGUCUGCCUCCCCUUGCUAAAUUGAAAAGAAAUUGAUCUCUGGAGCAGACCCUAUUCAUUUCUGUUGGCCACGCAGGAGAUGGCAGAGGCUAGAACACAUUCGCAGGAAGUGGCCAGCUGUCAACCCAGACACUGACACUCAGCAAAUGCUGUCUCCACAAUCUCUGGAGCCCCUGGUCUCAUAUACACCAUAGUGCUGGGAGGAUGGUCACUUGGGAAGCAGGCAUGUUCUUCCUCACAGCUAGAAAUCAAAGUUACUGUGGUUCCUCUAGAUUCCAGCUUCCUCUAGAAAUUUUCUUAAAUUUCUAAAUUUAAGAAAAAUGGGUCAGACACAGUGGCUCAUGUCUGCAAUUCCUUUGAAACCAGACAGGUCCCUGAUUCCCUCACAGGAUGUGUGACAGGAAUGUAGCUUGCCUGUUCAGUUGCUCUGCUGCUCAAACCUCUUGCAAAAGGGGAAGCAUGUAGAUUGGCAGGUGUAGAGGCCGGAAGAGUGCUUUGGGCUCCAGCCCCACAGUAAUGUCUAGAGGUGGUUGCCUGCAACCCAGCAUUACAAAGCUCUUUCCUUUUUGCCCUCCACAGAUGGCUUGAGUGUUAAUCAGCUCAAUGAACCCUCUGCCUUUUCGCAAGGGCAAAGGGCCAGUGUGACAGCUUUCAGUAUCCCGAGCUCUUGUCCAGCCUCCCGGAAAAACUGGGUCACAUACAAACCCUAAGGAUGAAUGCAAGGUUUUAUUGAGUUGUGGAGGUGGAGGUGACUUUCAGCAGGAUAAAUAGGGAGCCAGAAGCAGGGGACGGAGUGGGAAGGGGAUCUCCCCCUUUCUGACCACUCCCAGCCUAAUUCCUCUUGGCAUUCAGAUGUUCCUCCUCGUCUUCCUUUCUCUGCCGUGUCAUUCCUCCAUCCAUCUGCUGAUCUGCUGGCUUGUUGGUCUGCUUCUGGAGCCUGAGGUUUAUAUGGAUGCAGGUUAGAGGGCAUGGCAGGUCAAAAGGCAACUUUUUGGGCACAAAAACAGAAAUGGCUGUUGUCAUUUAGAACCGUGGGUAUCCAGGCUUGAGGGUUGGGCCUUUGCCAGGGAACUACCCUCUUCUAUCCAGUAUUUCUUGGUCUCUUGUCUGUAUCACCAUCACUUUCGAAGGUGGAAGCAGGAAGAUUGCUUCAUGCCAAGAGCUCAAGACCAGCUGGGGCAACACAGCAAGACCCCAUCUCUUGAAAAAACAUCUUUUUUUUAAUUAGCUGGGCAUGAUGGUGUGAGCCUGUAGUCCCUGCUACACUGGAGGCUUAGGCAGGAGGAUCAUUGAAACACAAGAAUUCAAGCAAUGAUUGCACCACUGUACUCCAGCCUGGGUAACAGUAUGACAGUGAGACACUGUCUUUAAAAAAAAAAAAUGAGUUGUUAGAAAAACAGGAAAAGAGCAAAGUUGUCUGCUAGUGGGAGUACAGCAUACCAUCAUUGCUGUAUUUUUAGGUUGCUAAUUUAAUGUCAGAAAGAUUACUUCCUCUUAAGCUAUGUUGCUUAAACUGAAGGUUCCGUCACGCCAGGAAAACAGUCAUGGUUUGGUCAAGCUCCUGGAGAAAAAGGAAUCUUUUGCUAUGGAUGUGGUUUGCUUGAAUUGGAAGUUUUGGAGUAAAUAAAAUAAAGACAGACCUGAAUAUAAAAAUAGCUAUCAAGUGUUACUAAACUAUACUAAGUUUUCAACCUUAAAAAGGUUUAAGGAUAGAAACCAAAAUUUGGCCUUUUCUUCAUUCAUUCUCACUACAUUUUUAUGAUCCCAAAUUAUUUUGCUCUGGUACUCUUUUCUCCUCACAUUCCAAAGAGAAGAACUUAACCCUUUGUUCUCACUUACUUGACCCAGUUUCUAGGGUCUUGUCUUUUCAUCACUCAGCAUUGUGGAGUUUUUGUUUAUUUGUUUUAUAGAGUAAAGACCUAGAUUUUAUAGAGCAGUGGAGAUUACCUGGACCUCACUCUUUCCCCUUAGUCAGCAGUAGCUAGGCUGGGAUAAAGUGCCCCUUUUCAUGAACCUCUAUCUUAGCCCUUUCUUGGUUUUUCUUCACAUGACAGAAGCUUAAGAGACAGCAGAUACUGGUGCCCACCAAUUCAGCAGCAUGAAACAUAUUAACCUAUCUUUCCUCUUAGUGAAUUUCCUGGCAAUGUGCCACUCCGGAGAGAAUCAAAUGGCUUCUCUUGCCUUAGCUUUCCAGAUGCCAUUAAGGGUGUAUUCAUCAUAUGGUUUUCUUUGCUGACAAAAUUAGUCCUAAUAGCCUGCUUCCAUUUAUCAACAGAUACAGUUACUGUUUUAGAGAACUUGCCCCAGGAACAAAUUCAGACUAAUACCAAGGCACAGCCUUUUACGAGAUUGUUGAAGUAAAACUUAACAAGGUUUUCUUUUGUUGUUCGUGUUUUGUUUUGUUUUGUUUUGUUUGUUUUCUUUAAAGUAAGUUGUCAGGGGUUUCUCACACUUUGCUGACAAAUAGUUAUGUGGUUAAAUUGUUUUGAAUCUUAAAUCUGCAUGCAUAUGCAAGUAUUACCAAAUAUUUCCACAGAUUCCCUGAGUUCAUUCUCUCUACUGCCAUCCACCCACAUGUGCUUCCGGAUUACGAAAUGCCUAUUCACAGUUUCCACACAAAUGUCAUUCAUUCACAAACAUUUCGUGAAUUCAGUAGCUGCAGCAGAGGCCCCAUCAUGAAUUGAACAAUUUUCUAUUAUUUCUCAGGCCACUCCUUAACACCGCCACCAACCGUUCUCCCUACCUCUUCUGCCUGAGCAACAGAUAUACUUUCUCCCUGUUACCUGCAAAAGUUCUCCUUUAUCCAGAUCCUGAAAGCUUGUCCUCUCAACAAUUAUAUAUUCCUCCCUAGAAGGAAACUUAUACCAGCUGCCAUUCUCUUAGACCCUGCCAACCAACCACCAACUUUGAAAAGGGGUGAGUAGAGCCUGAGAAAGGGCAGCAGAAGAGAUAGGGCCAAUCAUGGACGGACUGGAAGAGAGUGAUAUAGACUCAGCUGAAAAUUGAACUCUGCAGAGAGGCCAGGCAAUGAUGGGGUAGCUCAGUAGGAGUUGGCUAUAUUAACCAGGGCUCUUAGGUCUCAAGAGACAGGCACCUAAUUCAAACCAGUUUAAGAGUGGAAUGGAAAUGUAUUGGCUCUGUUAUCUGCGAAGGAUAUUGGAGAAACAUAUGACUGAAAGGAAAGCUGCAAGAACCACACAUCAGGGCCUACAGAGAGGGAACAAACUAGCGUUUGUUCUCCCUCCCCUCAUCACCCAUUUCUGUUUGUUCCUUCUUGGUUUCAUUUCACACAGGGGCUGUCUUACAUGGUGAGAAAAUGGCUUAGGGGACUCCUAGCCUUGGGCCCAUACACAAAGAGCACUUCUUUUUAAUGUGGCCAUACACAAAUUUCAAAUGAGACUGAUUGCCCUGCUUGGGUCACAUGACCUUUGCUGCAUAUGAAGGGAGGGAAGUCCCACCAGAAUAACAAGAGAAAUGGAACAGUUACACAAAAAGCAGGAGCGAUGUUACCUGAAGAAGUAUGAGAAAAUAUAAUAGGCAAACCAAACAAGCAAUAGCUAUUGCCAACCUUCUGAAAGACCACAGGCUCCCUGGGAGCUAAGGAGAGUAUGCUAAAAAGAGGAUGACGAGGAGGAGGCGAAUGCCAAAAACCCUGUCGAUGUCACAACUCUCCUUGGCCAGAUGUGUGACAAUGGCAGAAACUUUGAAGAGUUGACUUGGCUACUUUUGGGUUGCCAUGGGGAAGCGGUCAUUGAAUUAUUAGCUAGUAAAGUCCUGAGCAGCCAAAGCUUGGGUGAGGAUUUAAGAGUGGAAAACAAAUAAUCCUUAAAGGCUGGACUCGAUCUGGAAACUGCUAUUUUCCAGUCCAAUAGACCCAGGGGCCACUGGACAUUGUGGCACAUGCCUAUAGUUACAGCUACUGAGGAAGUUGAAAGAGGUUAAUCAAUUGAGCCCAGGAGUUCAAGGCGGCAGUGAGGUAGGGUCACACCACUGCACUCCAGUUUGGGCAACAGGGUGAGACUCCAUCUCAAAAAAACAAAAAAGAAGAGGAAGAAAAAGAUCAAGGGACUUUUACAACUCCCUUCACUGAGAGAAAUUGCUAUGUACCCAGGGACAAGCUCGGAAUUCAGAAGAAGGAAUAGAGACACAGGGAAAAGCACAUAAAUGGCACCCUUUCUUCGUUAGGUGGCUGUCCCCUGCAUUCGGCAGAGCAAAGGGAAAAGGCAGAAACAAUCUAACAUAUUAGCAAUUCACAAAUCUCUUCAGUAGCCAUAGUCUAGGACUGAGUACAGUUAAUGUAGCCUAGUCCACAUGGAGAAAUUUAGGUUUAGCUGCAAAUUAUAUUGAAAAUUUCUGGCAGCAAAACAUGACCAUAAAAAGGAAAAGGGUACGGGGCAAAGGACAAUGCAAGACACCAAAGAGGUAGAUAAGCAAAUCAUGUAAUCUAAAAGAAAGAAGUCACUCAGGUUAGAAGGACAAGGUAGGUUGAUUUAUCUUCACAUAUUCCAACUGCCUUAAUAAAUAAAGGCACUCAGUAAGUAACUUUUUAAAUGAAUGAGUACUGUCUCUUUUUAUACGUGGCUUCUCAUUUCCGUACCCCUUUUCUUUUUAACUCUUUUCAUUUUCUAAUUUUCUAUGAGCUUGUGAGGCAUUUCUGUUUUUCAAAUACAUUUCCUUUUUGCUUAAAAAUACUUUUAAAAGUAUUUAAUUAUAUAAGUGAAACAAUACAAUUUCAUUGUAGAUGAUUUUUAAAAUUCAGAAGUGUAGUAAAAUGUUCAAGUCUUCUUUUAACACACACACACAUGCACAUCAAAAUCUUGCUCCUACCCUCAGAAGCUUGUAACUAUUUGAGAAAUAUCCUUUCAAAAUAUUCUGUGCAUUCAAGUGUAUGCUCUGCAACACCCAUAUAUGUAUAUGUAUAUAUAUUUAUAUAUAGAGAGAGAUGACUAGCUAGAGUUUUGUUAGCUUAAAUUCUUUUAUGAAUUUUUUUCCCUUGAAAUUAUGACUUAGAGAUCAUUUUAUAUCAGUACAUAUGAGUAUGCAAUAUUAUUUUUAAUGUCAAUAAUAAUCUAUCAUUUAUUUAACCAGUCUUUUACUGAUGGACAAUUCCCAUUUUUUGCUGUUAAGAUUUGCACUCUUCUAUCUCAAUGUGCUAGUCUGGAAAAAUGAUUUGUAGGUUACCAACUUACUACUUAACCUUGAAAGUUGAGUAAAAGUGGGACUGACUGCAGUAGGAGAAGAAUUAGGGGCUGAAAUGCAAAGCGGUAAUAGAAUAUAUACACCUGACUCAUCUCUUGAACAUGUUUUCUUCCAGAACUAAACAAUGGAUGUGGUAAUCAUAGGAUGCUACUGGUUUGGAUAUUGGGGCUCUUCAAUUUUAAUGAAAACUAGGGCUUUCUUGUUUAUGUAGCAUUGUUUAUUUUGAUAUUUCUUUGCUUUUUCCUUGACUAUAAAAAUCAUUUACUAAGAAAAUUUGGAAAACACAGUAAUGGAAAAAAAAACCUGUAAGAACCACUGUUAUUGCUCCUUUUACCCUUUAUUGGACAUAUAUACGUGAACAAAAUUGAGAUACAGUAUAAAAUAGAUUUGUGUCCUUUUAUUUUUUUAAUUUUUAAUUUUAUGGUAUUUAGUAGGUAUAUAUACUUAUGGGACACGUGUGAUAUUUUGAUACAGGCAUGCAUUGUCUAACAAUCAUGUCAGGGUAAAUGGACUAUCUAUCACUUCAGGCACUUACCCUUUCUUUGUGUUACAAAAUUCUAAUUAUAUUAUUUUAGUUACUUUUAAAUGUAGAAUAAACUAUUGUUGACUGUACUCACCUGUUGUGCCAUCAAAUACUAAGUCUUACUUAUUCUAUCUGUGUUUUUAUACUCAUUAACCAUCCUCAUUUCCACCUCCUCUGUACUACUCUUAGCCUCUGGUAAUCAUCAUUCUACUCUCUAUUUUGAUGAGUUCAAUUGUUCUAAUUUUUAACUCCAACAAAUGAGAACAUGUGAUGUUUGUCUUUCUGUACCUCACUUAUUUCACUUAACAUAAUGUCCUCCAGUUCCAGCCACGUUGUUGCAAAUGACAGACUCACAUUCUUUUUUAUGGGUGAAUGGUACUCCAUUGUGUAUACAUAUCACAUUUUCUGCAGCCAUUCUGCUGUUGAUGGGCACUUGGGUUGUUUCCAAAUUUUGGCUAUUGUGAAUAAUGCUACAAUAAAUAUGGUGGUGCAAAUAUCUCUUUGAUAUACAGAUUUCCUUUCUUUGCGGUAUAUACUUAGCAAUGGGAUUGCUGGAUCAUAUGGUAGUUCCAUAGUUCUAUUUCUAGUUUUUUGAGGAACCUCUAAAACUGUUCUCUAUAGUGGUUAUACCAAUUUACAUUCUCAACUACAGUGUACAAGGGUUCCCAUUUCUCUACAUCCUUACCGGCAUUUGUUAUUGUCUAUCUUUUGGAUAAAAGCCAUUUUAACUGGAGUGAGAUAUUCAUUACAGUUUUGAUUUGCAGUUUU